Molecule: long non-coding RNA, 1143 nt
Organism: Astatotilapia calliptera (eastern happy)
Lineage: Eukaryota; Metazoa; Chordata; Actinopteri; Cichliformes; Cichlidae
Source: Ensembl
CUGAGAAUUAGGUAGACUAGACAUUGCUGUCGCUCACGGUGAAAGAAUUUUGUCAAUACGACUUUUACUUUUCAUUUGGGAACGAUUUGUUUCGGCCUGACUUUUCUGUUCAUUUUAAGCAGCAAAAGUGAGGCGCAUGUCUGUGUACGUGUGUAUGGAGCCAUUGGGUGCGGUCACUAUAGCAACCAGGCUCACACCUGCCUGCUUAACGAGCUCUGCCUGCCACUGUACCAAGAUUCAUCUUAAGCACUUCUCUUUCAACUGCUGCUGUGUCCACAGUGUUACAGCCAUCAUUUUACCCUCAAAUUGUCGCCAUUAUUGUUCUCUUUCCAACACCGUAUCUUUCAAAGCUCAGGCAUUUAAACUUUUUAAACUGUGUGGAUCAAAGUGGAGGGAUCACAUUUGAGUCAUUCAGUGAUUCAAAGAAUAUGACCUUUUAAUAUUCAUUCAGAUGUUUUCUGACUCUAAAUGUUCUUUUCUCAUUUCUUAGGGUUUUCUAAUUUACAUUUAAAACAUUUUCAGUUUUUUUCCAACUCCUUCUUCUGUGUAACCUUCAGCUUUUAGCAGUUCAGCACCUUUGUUUUCAGGUUAAAUUCGUUUUUUUUUUUUUUUUUUUAAUCUCAUUCAAUAUUUUUAACUCAAAAUUCAGCAAUUAAUUCAUUUCAGUGCAUACAUUCAGAUUCAAGCAUUCACACUGCAGUUUCUUCAGAAAAUGCACUUUCUAGUUAUAUUUUAUUUUUCCUGUGAAUGCUUGAAAAGCAUUCACAGUAUUGUUCUUCUAAUCUUUAUUCUUAUAUUUUAUUAUCUAUUCCGUACGUUUUUUGAAAGCCUACUCCUUCAAAACCGUUCAACUUAGAAAAACCAUUCAAACACCAUUAGAUUCCUAUUAUUUUGGACAUGGUUGCUUGUAUUUUUCUCAUUUUUAACAUUUAUAUUUUUAAUUUUAUUCAACUUUAUUCAACAAAAAUUUCCCAUGUAUUUCAAUGGGGAGACCCUUCAAAUUCUCAUUCAACUUACUCAUUUUUAAACUCUUACUACUUCAACAUACGUUCACAUAGAGCCACCAUUCAAACUUUAAAACGAAGACAAGACAUUCAACUAUUCAACUUGUAUUUAUCUUUUCAAUAUCUAUUAUACUUUUUC